GACUUCAAUAUAAAGGUUUGCUACUCAGAAGGACAGAAGACCAAAAUUCCACUUCUUAUAAUAACUAACUGACAUGUCAUAUUUAGGCAUUAAAUCAUUCUGAGAUGUUUACGGAAAUUCAUCGGAUAGCACUACCUAGAAAAUGUGCCACCACUGUUGAUACCAUAAAAGAAAUGAAAGCACUACACAAGCACUGCAAAUGUAAGCAAAUAAAUAAGCACCAAAUCCAUCAGUCACAUGGAUAUAGUCACAGUGGGAUAGUAGGGACACACACAACAGUCUUUGCACCUAUGCACCGAUGAAGUGAGGUCUCAGUGUACUUGACCGGUGCUCGCUUUCUGCUCCGACAUGAUUUUAAUUAAUCUGAAAUUGUGGAGGCUGUCGAUUGUACAGGUCGACGUGACACAGGGGUAGAGUGGGUGCGCUGGGAACCGCAAGGUUGGCGGUUUGAGCCCUGGUUGCUCCAUGUUGAAGUGUCCCUGAGCAAGACACCUGGUUGCUCCCUGGGCGAAAAUGUAACAAAAAAAGCUAUGGGUAAAAAUUGCAAUGUUAGUCGCUUUGAAUAAAACCGUCAGCUAAAUGACCUGUAAUGUAAUACAAACGUUUAUUCAGAUGCAUGCCUUUAUAAAGAGCUGGCAGAGCGUUUCUGUAUGCAAAUGAAGGUGCGUGAGAACCGUUACUUUGGUCCUACUUCAGAAAAUGUUUAAGAAUAACUAGAAAAGGCAUUUCCUGCUGAAAAUGCGUUGGAAUGCAAAAAGCUGAAAGCUGAAAUGAAUAUUUAAAAAUAGCUGAAAAUACAGAAAGUUGAAGGGAAUUUGAAUACAUCUGAAAUUACACAUAUUAGAAAAGCUGAAAUUAAUUUGAAAUUGCUAAAAAUACAGAAAUGGGAGAAGCUGAAAGGAAUUUCAAUAGAUUUGCUGAAAAAGCAGAAAUGAAAACAGCUGAAAUAAAUGUGAAACAUUGCAAAAAAAUACAGAAAUGAAUAUUAAAACAUUGCUGUUAAUAGAGGCAUAAGAAAAGCUGAAAUGAUUUUAAAGAAUUGCUGAAAAUACAGGAAGUGGGGAAGCUGAAUUCCAAUAGAUUUUCUAAAAAAUACAGAAGUUGCAGGAGCUUAAUUGAAUUUUAAAAAGUACAGAAAUAACAAAAGCUGAGAUGAAUAAAAAGAGGUUUAAAAUUGGUUGUAGUAAUAUUGGUAGUAGUAUUAGUUAUAGUUGUAAUUGUGGUAUUAGUAGUACUAGCAGUAGCAGUCGGUUUAUUAUCAAUAGCAGUAGAAACAGCUGUAAUACUAAUACUAUUAGCCAUAGUAGUAUUUGUAAUAACAUUAGUAGUAGUUGUAGUAUUAAUAGCAGUAGAAAUACCAGUAAUAUGGUAGUAGAAGUAUCAGUUGUAGUACUACUAGAAGUACUAGUAACUUGCUUAGUGGUUGUGGUAGUAUUUGAAAGAGCAAUACGUAUUUCAACGAAACCGCUUCAUGGUUAAGGUACAGAUAAUCAUUGAGGCUUUAAUUUUGUAAUGAUGGAAUUGGGUGAGGGGGGGUUGGGAGACAGAAUGUUUGUUAUUCAAACUAAUAAGUUUUUAAUUAAUAGGCCUCAUCACAAACAUUAGAGUAAAAAUUCCCUCCAUGGGGCUUUUAUUUUGAAAUUAUUGGAUUGGGUGGGGUGGGGGGGUGUAGAUAGAGGGAGGGAGGGUGAGAGGGUGAGGAAGGGAGGGGUGGUGAGGAAGAGAUAGAGGGAGAGAGAGAGGAGGAGAAAUAGACAGACAGACUGACUGACUGAGUGAUUAACAGUGAGAAGAGGUCAGGGUGGAGGGGGGAGGGGGGGCGAGUGUCUUUAUCAUAUUGGUCUGUUGACAGAAAGCAUAGCUGCGUCAUGUGACUCCAGUAAUCAGGUCAUAGGAGCAGCUGUGAGUCACAGACAGAGAUCCUGCAGCGUGUGAGCGAGUAACCACGGCAACGGCGCACCUGUGCUCAUUAACGAGCUGCUGCAAAAGGCAGAGACAGGACAGCGAGUUACACAGAAUCCACACCUCAAACAAAUGACAUUCAGCGCAAAACUAUAACAGCUAUCUAAAAAAUACGGCGUUUUUACGAGACCCAAGACUCUACCGAACGCAUGGAUGUGCGUUUUAUGUCUGUCCGGUAAUAAAUACGGCUCCUAUGGCCGUUGACAAAACGUGUACCUUCUGGAUUUUUAGAGAAAUAUGUCGGCAGAUUUGUAUUGGAGCCUAUGGGGCUUUUGGCAGAGGUUGUGUCACUCUAACACUCCUUAAGCAAAAACUAAAGAACUCUGGGAUUCCAUGAACACAUUAAUCCAAUCAGCACAACCAUACCCUCAUUAAUCUGAAGAAAUGAAGCCUCUAGAGUGUAUACUUUGGCUGCAAGGACAGACGUUCCAUACUUUUUUAACCAGAUUCCUGCGCUGCUUCACACUCUAGCCCUCGAGGUCCCCACUCUAGCAGACGCAAUACACACUCAUGUAAAAGUCAGAAACGGAGCGAAGAACUAGUGAAACAUAAUCAGUGAUUAUGAAAAAAGUACAAUAGAUAUCAAGAAGCAGUUUUUUUCAUAAAAUAGUUGAGACUUGUGUGAACAUUUGAGAGUUGAAAUGGUGUCUGUAGCUGAAAGAUUUGCGAAGCUGAAAAAUCUGAAAGUUGAAGAAGUUGAAGAGGAUUUGAAAAACAAACUCCAUUUGAAAACCAUGUUAGAAUAUUAACGAUUAUUGAUUUAUAUAAAUUCAAGCUUAAGAGGUAGAAAGCUGAAAAGUCAUAGCCCGGAAGCCGGAAAGAAGCUGAAGAUUUUAAUAUUUGAAGGAUUUUAAUAGCUGAAAGUGUGAAGGAGUUGAAAGGUGCCACGGAAGAAAUAGAAUAGGUCGGAAAUAAAGAUUCGAAGAACAAUACUUGGAAUGCUUAAAGCAUUCCAACUAAUAACACCAAUGUGUUUAUCAGUUUAUUCAUUUUUUAUUUGAGAUCGAGGAGGAAAGUCUCCGAGAUCGACCUCCGGUUGAUUGCGUGCGGCGGGUUGGCGACCAGUGGUUUAAAGUGACCUAAGCUGUCUGAACAAUCAAUCAUUCAUAAAAAAUACAAUUAUACAAUUCAGAACACUUAACAGGACUGUUUCUUUUUUUCUGAAUAUUUUAUUUUGAAAAUUGACCAGAUUCUCCUACAAUUACAUGUCGUUGUCCCUCUUGACACAAGUGUCAAGCAAACGUUUUGGGUUUUUUUUGCCAUGCGCAGCGACUACUAGUGAAGAUCAAUACUGAAGUUUAAAACGUAGACUACCCCACUGGACUGAAGGUUAAUUCAGCCGAGUGUAGUGAGGACUGAAGGUUACUGUCAUGGUGUGGGUUUAUUUCCUGUCUUAUUUUGUAGUUUUCUGCCUCUAGUCUCCCUGGGUAACUUCACUUCCUGCCUUGUCCAGUCAUCCCCUGUGAUUGUCUGAUUGUUUCCACCUCCUAUCACCUGCACCUGCACAAGCAUAGUGUGUCUCUUGUCUCUGUCAUUGUUGAUUGUUCUGGAUGUUCUUGGUUCCUGUCUGUAUUUUUGCCCCUUGGACCCUGGCUAUGGCGGGGGCUGAGCCGACGAGGCUUCAUGUGCCGUGCAGCCGGCGCCUCCGGUGGUUUCCCGUGUCCCCCAGCCAGCGACUCCGGAGGGUUUCCGUGUUCCCCAGCCAGCCAUUCCAGAGACGUUCAGUGCCCUGCAGUCGGCGCUCCGGAGCCAGACUGUUGACCGUCCACCAGGCCGACCCCCGGAGCCCUCCCGGCCAACUGAUCGUCUGCCGGGCCGACCCCCGGAAGCUCCCUGGCCGUCUGGCCUCCCGCCGGUUUCCACCUGUGUCCAAUCACCUGCAUCUCCCUAGUGUAUUUAAGCCGUGUGUGUCACUAGUCGCGUCAUUGUUGAUUGUUCUGUAUGUUCUUGCUUCCUGCCUGUAUUUUCGCCUCUUGGCUCCUUUGGAGUUUUUGACUAUUAAAGUCUUUUUUUGGUUUGACGUCUGCAUUUGAGUCCUGCCUUCCCCGCACCCUGACAGUUACUGGUGCCAAGUGGAAAUAGGACUAUGAGAAACAGUGUUGAGAAAAAUAAGACUGACUGACAAACUAUGAAGCAGAUAUUAAAGAUAUAAAGAACAUGAAGUGUAUAAGUGUAAUAAAUAAUUAAAUCUUUUGUACAUUAACACUUUUAACGUCCACUGACCCGGACACAAAGGCACUGUUGCCAAAGACAGCACAACACAGAAAUGGAAGCGCAGAUUAACAUCCAAAUUGAUUCAAGAGUGUAUUAUCAUGUCAUUAGUUAGCUGGCUACAGUAAACAGUCUCCGAAAGUUAUAUUCUCACCACAGAAAGUUAAUCAGUAUAGCCUUUAAUUUAUGUAUAUGAUUCUCUUGAGGUUAAUUUUACAAUGUUUUAAAAUGAAAAUCGAGGGGUAUACUGACAAAGAAAAGGCCCAGAGGCCCACACCAAAAAUAUAAAAAAUCAAUAUUUUCAUAGAUAAGGAAGCCUAACAAGGUAACCAAGAGAUAAGAAACAAAUUGAAUGAUAGAUAAUUUUUUCUAGUGUAUUUUAUAGCUGGAUUAAGACACGGGUCAAAACCAACCCAUUAACACAAGGGAUGGCAACAGAAAGCUAACACAAGAGGAAGGUUAAGGCACUUACCAGCCUGCAAAAUGUUUUUAUAUUCAUCUUGACCUGUUGCCAGGAUAUUUUUUGUACAGUCUUCUUUGUUCUGUAUGAACAUUAAUUGUAGAAAGAUAUUUGACAAAGCCUAUGGCUAGUAAGUUGAUACUUUUAAAUCCUUCCGCUUUCAGUCGGUCCAAGAUUGUCUGCCGGGCCUUUUACAUUACAUUACAGGUCAUUUAGCCAAUGCUUUUAUCCAAAGCGACUUAUUCUCUGUUUAAUUACAGCUGCCCUUUAUCUUUUUUUUGCAUAUGCUUCUCUUCUUAUUAUCCAAGAUGGCACCAUUGAUGGCUGCCACGGUGCUUCGGUGCGCUUCGUUUUUUGUUGUUUUUGUUGUUAAUUAUAUUCAUUAUUAUUCCUGCUGAGAUUCCCGGAGCUCUUUUCACCAGAAAGCGUGGUUCUCUCACUCCGCUGCCAGGCAUCUUUCUCUCCAACGUGGGCUCACUGUGCAACAAACUGGACGAAAUUCAGCUGCUGGUGAGGAGAGACUUCUCUACAUCCUCCGUUUUGUGCUUCACGGAGACGUGGCUCUGCAGAUCGAUACCGGACUCCGCGCUCCAGCUGGCGGGCUUCCAGCUGCUCCGAGUGGACCGCGACACGGGGGUCUCCGGCAAGACAAAGGGUGGAGGAAUCUGCUUUUACUUCAACAACAGCUGGUGCAACGACGUAACGGUGAUCCUAAAACACUGUUCUCCUGAUCUGGAAACUUUCUUCAUCAACUGCAAACCCUUUUAUUCCCCCUGUGAGUUCGCUUCAUUCAUCCUGGUCGGUGUUUACAUGCCGCCGGCGGGCAACGUGCACGAGGCACAGCGAACACUCGCCGACCAGAUACGGCGUGUGGAGCGGACCAACCCGGACUCUUUAGUUAUUGUCCUCUGGGACUUUAACAAAGGAAAUCUCACACACGAACUCCCUAAGUACAGACAGUUUAUUAAAUGCCCCACUAGAGAGGAGAACACGCUGGAUCACUGUUACACCACAGUAAGCAGGGCUUAUCACGCCGUCCCUCGUGUUGCACUGGGAUACUCUGACCACGUCAUGGUCCAUCUGAUUCCUGCAUACAGGCAGAAACUAAAGCUCUGCAAACCUGUGGUGAGGGAAUUCAAGAAGUGGACCAGUGAGGCGCUUGAGGAUCUUCGGGCGGCCUUUGACUGCACAGACUGGGAUGUUUUCAGGACUGCUACUGACAGUCUGGAUGAGUUCACAGAGGCUGUAACUUCCUACAUCGGCUUCUGUGAGGACAGCUGUAUACCAUCAUGCACCAGGGUGAGUUACAACAACGACAAACCCUGGUUCACAGCGGAACUCAGAACACUACGCCUGCAGAAGGAUCAGGCUUAUAGGAGUAGGGACAAAAACUUGUAUACAGAGUCAAAAUACAAGUGUAGCAAGGCGGUGAGAGAUGCUAACAGUUCUCAGCAAGUGACUCUGCUUCGGUUUGGAGAGGCCUCAAACACCUCACUAACUACAAGCCCAAAACCCCCAACUCCAUGAAUGACCUCCGCCUGGCAGACGAGCUGAAUGAGUUCUACUGCAGAUUCUAAAGACAAUGUCCUGAUCCCAUCCCCCACAACUCCACCAACCUGCUGCAGUCCCCCAUCCCUCCCUCCCCCAGGCCAUCAGGUGCUCACGCUUCCACAUCUAUAUCACCUUCCCCUCCCCCACCAGCAACGACCCUCUCUAUUCUGGAGAGAGACAUUAACCGGCUCUUUAAAAGACAAAAUCCCCGUAAGGCAGCCGGUCCGGACUCUGUUUCCCCUCACACGCUGACGCAUUGUGCUGACCAGCUGUCUCCGCUGUUCACUGACAUCUUCAACACCUCCCUGGAGACAUGCCACGUACCAGCCUGCUUCAAGGCCUCCACCAUCAUCCCUGUUCCCAAGAAGCCCAGGAUCACAGAGCUCAAUGACUACAGGCCUGUCGCCCUGACCUCUGUAGUCAUGAAGUCUUUUGAACGGCUAGUCCUGACCCACCUGAAGUCCCUCACUGACCCCCUCCUGGACCUCUUGCAGUUCGCCUACAGAGCCAACAGGUCUGUGGACGAUGCUGUCAACAUGGCCCUCCACUACAUCCUCCAGCAUCUGGACUCCACAGGAACCUACGCCAGGAUCCUGUUUGUGGACUUCAGCUCUGCCUUCAACACCAUCAUCCCGUCUCUGCUGCAGGACAAACUCUCCCAGCUGCACGUGCCCGACUCCACCUGCAAGUGGAUCACAGACUUCCUGUCUGACAGGAAACAGCACGUGAAGCUGGGGAAACAUGUCUCAGCCUCUCGGACCAUCAGCGCCGGUUCCCCCCAAGGCUGCGUUCUUUCCCCUCUGCUCUUCUCCCUGUACACCAACAGCUGCACCCCCAGUCACCAGUCCGUCAAGCUCCUGAUGUUUGCGGAUGACACCACCCUCAUUGGACUGAUCUCUGGUGGGGAUAAGUCCGCCUACAGGUGGGAGUCUGACCAUCUCGUGUCCUGGUGCAGUAAGAACAACCUGGAGCUCAACGCUCUAAAGACAGUGGAGAUGGUUGUGGAUUUCCGGAGGAACAGAGCCCCACCCUCCCCCAUCACCCUGUGUGACUCCCCCCGUCCCCCGUGUGGAUUCCUUCUGUUUCCUGGGCUCCAUCAUCACCCAGGACCUCAAGUGGGAGCUGAACAUCAGCUCCAUCACCAAGAAGGCUCAGCAGAGGUUGUUCUUCCUGAGGCACCUGAAGAAAUUCAACCUGCCAAAGACGAUGAUGAUCCACUUCUACACGGCCAUCAUCGAGUCCAUCCUCUGCUCCUCCAUCACUGUCUGGUACGCUGCAGCCACAGCCAAGGACAAGGGCAUGCGUGUCAUCCGCUCUGCAGAGAGGGUGAUUGGCUGCAAUCUGCCGUCCCUGCAGGAUUUGUUCGCUUCCAGGUCUCUGAAGCGAGCUAAAAAGAUCGUAGCCGGCCCCUCUCACCCCGGACAAAACCUGUUUGUGCUCCUUCCAUCUGGCAGGAGGCUGAGGUCCAUCAGGACUAAGACCUCCCGCCACACGAACAGUUUCUUCCCGUCGGCAGUCGGGUUCAUCAGCAGAGCCCGGUCCCCCACUGACUGACUAUAACAUUCCACAGCUCACUCCCCUUCAUACUGCACAUGUCACUUUAACUGUAAUUGUUCACUUUGUCGUCACUCGUCACUUGUUCGCUAGUGCACUUUAUGCUUAAUAUUUUUUUACUUUUUUAAUAUUUUAAAUUCUUAAAACUUAUUAUCUUGUUUUAUACUAACUCAUGGCCUUAUUCUACUAACCCAUUGCAUUAGCAUUUCAUUUUACUUUAUUUUAUUACUUGUGCACUGCUGUCACUGCAUGAAAAGUGAGAUUUUCGUCCCCGUAAACGCCCGGAAAUCUCCCUAAUUUCCGACAAUUUGCAACCCGCGCACGUCGCGUUUGUCUGUGCCACAAAUUGUCGGAAACGAACCAUGACGUAGGUGGAGAGCUGGCGAAGGUGCGAAUGGCCCGAAUUAGCAUAUGAAUGCAGCGAAACCGCGGGUGGCCGAGCGGGCUUGAAUAUCCUUACUCCUUAUUGGAUGAAACCACAACUUACUAACAAAUGAAAUCACUCGUGAUUGGCAGCAAAACCCCACCUGGGCAGACCAGGCUCGAGUUUCCUUGUUCAUGAUUGGAUGAAAACACAACUUUCAAUCACUCAUGAUUAGUUGGCAGAUCUGUCGCUAUUGGUCACCCGCCUCAUUUUAAUUAUAUAUUCAUAUUAUGCUGUAUAUUCAUUUCAUGGUUAUCCUAUGCAGGCUACUACACUAUUAUUAGGAUACCAACCAGGAUAUCAAUGAAUUUAUAGAGAAAAUGAACAUUUGACACAUGUUUAUGCAAAGAAAGAGCUUUAUUAACAACACACAAACAACAACUACAUACAAAGUGAGGAUCUGCCCACACUUGGGUAACGGCGGUUUAAAAACUACAGCUCAGUAUACUGUCCGUUUGCCUCCUCGGGGUUGUAGACCGUCACUGGCGCUGUGUUUUCCGAGGCAGGUCUGUUGCGCAGGCGGCUUGUGUGUGUGGCGACCAUACAAUCCACCCCGAGACCCCGCCAACAACGCCGUCCCCUCCGUCCGACGUGAGCUCUACGGUGGCGGAUUUCCAGAAUUCCACCUCGUCAUCAGCCAACUUUGUCUCGAGUCCAGCAGCUGUAAAAACAACAAUGAAUCAGUACUGUGCGAUGCGUAUGGACACAACACAUUGAUCAAUGCACCUGAAAAAAGUCAGCAAAUAAUCUCUGACCCUCUUUCUUCUCGCUCGACUCCGCGCUGAAUCCUUCGCAGCUUCCGCCCGCAAUGAGUGUUCCAGCUGAACCUGAAGCUCCUGCGUACCGUCUCACAAUACGUCUCACAGGCGGCUGGGAAACAAUUAAAUGAGUGUGGUAUGAAUACAAAAAAAAUCAAACGCAAGUCACAGUAACAUUUAACAAGGAAGGAGAAACAGUAAACAGUGUCACUUACACACAAUGACGUCGUCUAAAUCUGGACUUAUCCCGGAGCAAAUACGAGGUCACCGCCUCAUUAUGAGGCGAGAUUAGUCUGUGAAAACAAAAUCUACAGUUAUGAUUGGUAUCCAUACGUAUAUAUUCCCUUAUAGCGCAGAAUGAAAGCAUAUUCUUUAAAUCUUACCCUUGCUCCGGUUCGUAGCGCCUGUAAUUCGUCUCGGAGUUGUGAAGACGGCGCACCGCUUCCUGUAAACGACACGGCAAAGAAAACACACUUUAAUCAAGCUGUUUCUGCUCAAUUGUAAGGCUACUAGGCUACUCUUAGCUUAGCUUGAGGCUACGCUACUCUUAGCUUGCAGUCAUCGAACGUAUUCUUACCGCUAUCUUGCGAUUGUGCGCCCGUCUCCUCUUCUUUGAGUCAGUUCCUUUCCUCCAUGGACAGAAACCCGGAGAGUCCCAACGCUCCAGUGGAGCGAACCGCUCGUUGAUAUCGGCAGUUUGUUGUUGGAGUUGACGAGACGAUCCACUGAGAGCAUUCAGCAGCUUCUUCUCGUCUGUCUGCGGACAGGCCGAAAGUUGGUGACCGCGGAGAGGAGUUGAAGGCGAGUUGAACGCGAGACGUCGUCCCGCCAUUAUUCACGAAGCAGCAAAAACCAAACAAAGGAACUGGAGAUACAGUUCUUCUGACUAUAGUAACACACUGUUAGUAUGCUCGUCUUGCAAGUACUGCUGUAUCAGUCAUGCCUAUGACCUCACACGUGAUUGGACGAGGAGUCUAAGGGUCCUCCAAUCACAUAUGAGGUUAUUGUUAUACGGAAGGACCAGUAUUUUAGGAAGACAAAUGGUUGGGACUUUGAAACAGCUGAUAUGCUUUAUGUAAAGCAGUGUUUUGGUGUCAGCAGAACGACUUUCCUUAGAAAACUGUACAGUGGUGCCUCUUUCUCCAUUCCACCAGACAAUCUUGGAUGAGUCUGACAGACAUGCAAUGUUGACAAUGUAUCAUCAGAUGUACCCUUGUGUCACUGAGGUUGAAUGUUUUGCCAUGACAUGUAAACAGGUAACAUAUAUGAAUGUAACUUACUCAAUCGAUAGAUGCAGAGCAGAAAGGUCAACAUAUGUUCAUGCUAAGUGGUGUGGAAACACUAACAGUUUUGAGGAACCCGUCCUUGACCCUCUAGCAGAACUACGACCAGCCAUUAUAAAGCAGUUUAUAGUUGUUAAUGCUGUGUCAAAGGGUACGGCAUUUAAACAUGUUCUUGCACAAGUUUCCUGGCUUUAUCCCCCCCCCGGACAGACAUUUUUAUGGAAAGCCAAUAGAAGUUUGGGGCUUGCAGGGAACAGACACGUCAUACCCAGCAUCAUUUCUGCCAGUUGAGCGCAUUGCUAGAAGAUGUGUGGUUAAUACAUCCUCUGUGCAUUUAAGUAAGACCAAAGAGAAGGUCACUGAAGUCCUGCCACUAUGCACUGUAGUUGAGCUCUAGGAGACUGUGAUCUCUGCAGACCCCUCAUGCUGAUUCAAAUGUUGUUUGCAUGGAAUGCUCAUUUUACCUUGAUUAAAACAAAUUUUUAAAAAAAGUUAUUUUGUGUAUCUUUUUUUACAUAACAUUUGCCAUUGCUAAUGGCGUACACAGUAAUCUAGCAUAUUUGAAUUAAAUAAAUCAAUUCAAGCCAAAAUGUAAGAGUCUAUAAUUAGACUACUGAGCCUGAUCUAUUUGUACUAGAGAUUUUCUUACCUUUUAAAAAAAUGUCACCUGGGCUAAAACUCCCUCUGCGACCCUGAUUUGCAUUUGUAUAGCUCACAGCAUUUUCAUUUACAUGUCAAAGCCUCCCCUAGAAUUAGGAGGAGGGGGGUCAUGGGGGGACAACUGCCAAGGGAGGCCCACGUCAAUUUCUGACAAUUUACGGCAGUUUUCGGC
Long non-coding RNA from Gasterosteus aculeatus aculeatus (three-spined stickleback), 11035 nucleotides. NCBI's taxonomy places the organism in Eukaryota, Metazoa, Chordata, Actinopteri, Perciformes, Gasterosteidae. The record is from Ensembl.